UUCUCCCACACGAUUCAGCCUUUUAACCUCCUUCCUUUCCCUUAUCCUUUUCCUACAUGGAGAUAGGUUUUACAGCGUAGUGAGGGCUUGUCGGAGUCGAGAUAAUCCUGAUUUAAUUCCUUCCAUCCCCUUCGUAGAAAAGGCCGGAGCUCCCUUUCGUUCCAUUAGAAUUCCCAUUUGCCGUAACCACAGCAGCAAAGUCUAUGUCAGGUUCAACAACACACAGUUUGGGGUUCUGAUACGGGAGGAUCUGCUCUACUGAAGUUCAAGGGUUCAAUUUUAGACUCUUUUGGUGUCUCCACGGGAUCAUUGUUCCUCAAUCAAGGUUUCUUGUGAUUCGGUUUGUCAGGUGGUGACAUUGAAUAUUUGUCGAGCAAAGGUUUUUGAGUUACGUAAUUGAGAUUGACUGGGUUAUUUAUUUCAUUUGUAGCUUAAGGUGUAGUGUUGUAUCAAGUGAUGGCUCGAAAUGUGCAACAAUACCUGAAGUGAAAAUUCCUUUUGAUUUCUGGUUUGAUAAGGCAUUAAACCUCAAUUUUGUGCACUAUUUAGAUUAAUGUUGAAUUUUUAUAUGGUUGAUCUAUUCAAUAUGAAGUUAAAAGGAGAAUUAGGAUCCAUAAUUUGCUAGCUGAAAUUAGUGUAGACUCAUAGCGUAUUAAGUGAAUCAAGUUAUGCGAUGAUCAAAACAUGGGUAUUUGGGAUCUUCUAACACAUUUAAAGGAGUGCCUGUUACAUUUCAGUCGAAUCUGGAAUGCUGUUUGGAUUUAUUAGUCAUCAAAUUCAAUUCUGGUUUCCAAUUUUAUUCCGUUUCAAGUUUUAAUUCUGAAUAUCAUCUUUGACUUUGUUUAGUAUUAAACUUAUGGAAAUUAGUGUAUUGGCCUUUUUCCUCUAAUUCGUGGAGACAAAAUACUUAUUAUAUCACUUUAUGAAAUGGCAACCCAUGUCUUAUGUUCAUGCCAAAUAAGUUUGAUUGUAAUGGUGGGAUCUAUGGUCAAAAUGUCCUUUUUCAUUUUUCUUUUGGAACUCUUGGUGAGCUUUUAGUAUGUGGUGCUACUCUUGAUUUUAUAACUUUCAGAUUAUAUCUUUUACAUGGAUGCAUUUUUGUUCCUAUUGUUUUGACUAAUUAACUUCUUUCAUAUUCAAUGCCAGAGCACACUUGAUACUGCUUUGGUAGUGAGGCUACUUGACUCUUCUUUGCCUACUUGCCACUCUACUACUUUUAUGAAAUGGCUUCGCCCAAGGGAAUUAGCAUAUUCUGGAAUAGUAAUUGGAAUGAAAAAGGGAGUGAAACAAAGUCUAUUCUUUUAUGAAUUUAGGUAG
Olea europaea var. sylvestris is the source of this 1317-nucleotide long non-coding RNA. RefSeq lists it as uncharacterized. The transcript is spliced from 3 exons. NCBI's taxonomy places the organism in Eukaryota, Viridiplantae, Streptophyta, Magnoliopsida, Lamiales, Oleaceae. The record is from RefSeq and is a predicted model, not a curated record.